This 422-nucleotide ribosomal RNA is filed under the name Cryptosporidium hominis. RNAcentral's name for it is "partial small subunit ribosomal RNA". It matches the Rfam family "Eukaryotic small subunit ribosomal RNA", at positions 628 to 1073 of the family's 1831-position model. The record is from RNAcentral. Lineage: Eukaryota; Apicomplexa; Conoidasida; Eucoccidiorida; Cryptosporidiidae.
UCGUAGUUGGAUUUCUGUUAAUAAUUUAUAUAAAAUAUUUUGAUGAAUAUUUAUAUAAUAUUAACAUAAUUCAUAUUACUAUUUUUUUUUUUAGUAUAUGAAAUUUUACUUUGAGAAAAUUAGAGUGCUUAAAGCAGGCAUAUGCCUUGAAUACUCCAGCAUGGAAUAAUAUUAAAGAUUUUUAUCUUUUUUAUUGGUUCUAAGAUAAGAAUAAUGAUUAAUAGGGACAGUUGGGGGCAUUUGUAUUUAACAGUCAGAGGUGAAAUUCUUAGAUUUGUUAAAGACAAACUAAUGCGAAAGCAUUUGCCAAGGAUGUUUUCAUUAAUCAAGAACGAAAGUUAGGGGAUCGAAGACGAUCAGAUACCGUCGUAGUCUUAACCAUAAACUAGGCCAACUAGAGAUUGGAGGUUGUUCCUUACUCC